Molecule: non-coding RNA, 218 nt
Filed under: Exiguobacterium artemiae
Lineage: Bacteria; Bacillati; Bacillota; Bacilli; Caryophanales
Description: Exiguobacterium sibiricum T-box sequence
Rfam family: T-box leader
About the family: Uncharged tRNA acts as the effector for transcription antitermination of genes in the T-box leader family. T-boxes are found upstream of many aminoacyl-tRNA synthetase genes and some amino acid biosynthetic genes usually in Gram-positive bacteria.
Source: RNAcentral
AAUAAAGCGUAGAUGAGGAAAGUAGGAACGAUGUCCGUUGUACAGAGACGAGCUUGAGUGGUGAGAAAGCUUGAACGGACGCGCUCUCGAAAUGCCCCUCUGAGUGCUACCCGAAAUCAGUGAGAGUAGGCGUAGACGUAUCUCCGGCGUUAACGGACCGGAGAGGGAUGAUUCGUUCAUCCAAACAGAGUGGGACCGCGCUGAUUGGCGUCUCUGUG